Molecule: ribosomal RNA, 1584 nt
Filed under: Bradypus variegatus (Brown-throated sloth)
Lineage: Eukaryota; Metazoa; Chordata; Mammalia; Pilosa; Bradypodidae
Description: 16S ribosomal RNA
Rfam family: Archaeal large subunit ribosomal RNA (bases 778-1584)
Source: RNAcentral
GCCACACCUAGCCCAACACAGCCCUUAACUCAACUACCAACAUCAACCCAAAGGAACCUUACCAUUUACACCAAUAAAAGUAUAUGCGAUAGAAUUUAUCAACACGCGCCAUAGAGAUAGUACCGCAAGGGUUAGAUGAAAGAACAACUAAUAGCACAAAACAGCAAAGACCAACGGUUUUACCUUUUGCAUAAUGAACUAACCACAAAAACCUUGACAAAGAGCCCUUCAGGGAUAAACCCCGAAUCCAGACGAGCUACCCGCGGACAGCACAAAGAACCAAUUCAUCUAUGUUGCUUAAUAGUCAAAAGAUCCUCAGGUAGAGGUGAAAAGCCUAACCGAGCCUGGCGAUAGCUGGUUGUCCCGAAAUUGAACCUAAGUUCAACUUAAAAUAAGCCCAAAGAACAUAACAUCUAAUCUCAACACAAAAAUUAAAUAUAAUCAACAGAGGUACAGCUCUGCUGACAAGGGACAAUCCCCACCUAGAGAGUAACCACCGCACUCCGGCCGUCCAUAGUAGACCUAAUUGCAGGCACCAAUAAAGCAAGCGUUCAAGCUCAACUAGCAAUAACUCCUUAAAUACCAAAAGCCACACCCAACUCCUAAAACCCCAUUGGACCAAUCUAAAAUAUAGAAGAGACAAUGUUAGUAUAACUAAUAAGAAUAACUUCUGGACCCACUAGCUUAUAUCAGAACGGACCUACGACUGAUAGUUAACAGCCAGACUUCCAUACUGGCCCAAAUAUCCCCAAGUCGUAACUCACUGUUAACCCAACACAGGAAUGCCUACUGGAAAGAUUAAAAGAAGCAGAAGGAACUCGGCUUACAUAAAUCCCGCCUGUUUACCAAUUACAUAACCUCUAGCAUAACAACUUUUAGAGGCACCGCCUGCCCAGUGACAUAUGUUCAACGGCCGCGGUACCCUGACCGUGCAAAGGUAGCAUAAUCAAAUGUUCAAUAAUUAAGCACUUGCAUGAAAGGCCCUACGAGGAUUUUACUGUCUCCUACUUCCUUUCUGUGAAAUUUACCCGCCCGUGAAGAGGCACCGAUAACCAUAUAAGACGAGAAGACCCUUCGGAACUUUAAUUAACUAGCCUAAUCAUAACCCAAACAAACCUAGCAGGGACAACUUUCCUUGACCUAGACUAGCAAUUUCGGUUGGCCCGACCUCGGAGUACAAUUAAACCUCCGAAUCACCAUGCUCCCAGACCUCACCAGUCAACGUGCCCCAAUAUCAACUCAAUUGACCCAAGUUAUUGACCAACGGAACAAGCUACCCUAGGGAUAACAGCGCAAUCCUAUUUCAGAGUCCAUAUCGACAAUAGGGAAAACGACCUCGAUGUUGGAUCAGGACAUCCCAGUAGUGUAACCGCCACUAAAGGUUGGAAUGUUCAACGAUUAAAGUCCUACGUGAUCUGAGUUCAGACCGGAGUAAUCCAGGUCGCUUUCUAUCUAUAAACCUUAACUCCCAGUACGAAAGGACUUGAGAAACUGGCCCUACUCUACAAAAGCGCCCUUUAACCUAUUAGAUGACCAAAUCUAAAUCUAGUAAAUCUCCUAACAACCAACCCAAUUCCAGGGUUU